GCCGACAACUAGCUCUCUGUAAUUCUCACAUGGUCGCCCACUGAAGCUAAGCAGGGCUGCUCCUGGUCAGUACCUGGAUGGGAGACCACAUGGGAAAGCUAGGAUGCUGCCGGAA
Molecule: ribosomal RNA, 115 nt
Filed under: Danio rerio (zebrafish)
Lineage: Eukaryota; Metazoa; Chordata; Actinopteri; Cypriniformes; Danionidae
Source: RNAcentral